AUGGCCAGUACAGUGGUAGCAGUCGGACUGACCAUUGCUGCUGCAGGAUUUGCAGGCUGUUAUGUUUUGCAACCCUUAUAUAAGGCAUGUGGAACCUCAAGUAAAAUUUUUCAAAGUCUACCAAAAUCUGCCUUCAGUGGUGGCUAUUACAGAGGUAUGUUUGAACCCGAAACGACAAAAUGGAAAGCAGCAUUAAUAGUAGCUGUAAGCACUACUGCCAAUAAAGAGAAAAUAAGAGGUGCUCAUUGACAAAUGAUGCUCUUAAAUCAUCCAGGUAGAUCUUCUGCUAUCAUAACCAAAAAUAAAUGGAGCAAAAGAUUUACUAGAAUGUCAAGCUAAAAAAU
This 344-nucleotide long non-coding RNA is filed under the name Homo sapiens (human). RNAcentral's name for it is "non-protein coding lnc-CC2D1B-2:1". The record is from RNAcentral. Lineage: Eukaryota; Metazoa; Chordata; Mammalia; Primates; Hominidae.